GAUGAACGCUGGCGGCGUGCCUAACACAUGCAAGUCGAAUGGAACUUUUGAGGAUUGAGGCUUCGGCCGAUUGAUACUUAAGUUUAGUGGCGGACGGGUGAGUAACGCGUGAGUAACCUGCCUUUCACAGGGGGAUAACGUUUGGAAACGAACGCUAAUACCGCAUGACAUGUUUUUAUCGCAUGGUAGAAACAUCAAAGAUUUUAUCGGUGAAAGAUGGACUCGCGUCCGAUUAGGUAGUUGGUGAGGUAACGGCCCACCAAGCCGACGAUCGGUAGCCGGACUGAGAGGUUGAACGGCCACAUUGGGACUGAGACACGGCCCAG
RNAcentral lists this ribosomal RNA (326 nucleotides) under uncultured bacterium. RNAcentral describes it as "bacterial SSU rRNA". It matches the Rfam family "Bacterial small subunit ribosomal RNA", at positions 28 to 334 of the family's 1533-position model. The record is from RNAcentral.